RNAcentral lists this long non-coding RNA (241 nucleotides) under Hordeum vulgare. Its description in RNAcentral is "long non-coding RNA (HVUL_LNC007035)". Lineage: Eukaryota; Viridiplantae; Streptophyta; Magnoliopsida; Poales; Poaceae. The record is from RNAcentral.
AAAAGAAAAACCACUACAAAUCAUAACUCACUUGUAUGUCACAUCAGACCAAAUUUGGUAUAUGCCAGAUUUGGCAUAUUCCAUUUAUGGAAUUAUCCCACAAUAGAAUUAACACACCACACAAAAUAAAAUCACCACAGUAAUUAAUUUGAGAAGGGGUUCCCACUAGUCAUAGACACCAGGGGCCCGUAGUGCAUGACACGUGGGCCAGGCCCACUUGUUAGUGGCACAACUACAGAAC